Long non-coding RNA from Balaenoptera acutorostrata (minke whale), 1121 nucleotides. RefSeq lists it as uncharacterized. The transcript has 3 exons. The record is from RefSeq and is a predicted model, not a curated record. Lineage: Eukaryota; Metazoa; Chordata; Mammalia; Artiodactyla; Balaenopteridae.
CCCGGAGCCUGAGAUUGGAAUCUUUGGAAGGGACUGUAGGAGACGGAAGGGGAAACUUGCUACCUCCCCACAGGGAGGCCAAGUGCUGAUCCUUCUGGGAGCCAUUUUUGAAAAUCCCGACAAAGCACUGCUGCACUUGGCCUUGUCACACGGCACGGACAGCUGAGGGAGCCAGCUCACUGGGCCUUAGGCCAGCCUGGGCAGGUGCAUUCCUUAGCAGAAGAGAAGUCCUGCAAGGAGGAGUGCAUUCUCCCCUCCCAUCUGGAAAGUGAACAUGAAGUCCAGUUUCCAGUUCCUCUUGAAAAUUCAGAAGAUGUUGACAACAGUCCUGCAUGGCAUAUAAUCAGCUGGACUCAAGCGGCAGGUGGCCUCCACUGCUUUCUAGUCAAUCCCUCUCUGCAGACUGUAACACCCAGUUUGUUUUUUUUGUUGUGUUCUGUUUUUUAAUAUUUUAUUUAUUUAUUUAUUUGGUUGUGCCGGGUCUUAGUUGCGGCUGGUGGGCUCCUUAGUUGCAGCUCACCAGCUCCUUAGUUGUGGCAUACGAACUCUUAGUUGUGGCAUGCAUGUGGGAUCUAGUUCCCUGACCAGGGACCGAACCCAGGCCCCCUGCACUGGGAGUGUGGAGUCUUAACCACUGCGCCACCAGGGAAGUCCCUAGAACACCCAGUUUGGUCCACUGUCACUGGACAGACAUACUAGAAGAGACUACGUUAAGACUGCUGGUCGGGCUUCCCUGAUGGAGCAGUGGAUACACAACUACUACCACAACUACUGAGCCCGCGCUCUAGAGCCCGCGAGCCACAACUACUGAAGCCUGCGUGCCUAGAGCCCGCAACAAGAGAAGCCACUGCAAUGAGAAGCCUGCGCAACGCAACAAAGAGUAGCCCCCGCUAGCCGCAACUAGAGAAAAAACCCGCACGCAGCAACAAAGACCCAACCCAGCCAAAAAUUAAAAAAAAAAAAAAAAAAAGACUGCUGGUCACCAGCUCCAUAUAGGAACGGCCCUAGCCAAUGCCUCCGCAAAACUAGGAGGCUGCUGCUCUAGGGAAGGCCAGGAGCAGAGAAUUCUGGGAGGCUAGGAGGCCAAGAGCAACUUGCUUGACUCAGUGAGCUCCUUAGCU